GAUGAACGCUAGCUACAGGCUUAACACAUGCAAGUCGCGGGGCAGCAUGGGGGUUGCUUGCAAUCCCCGAUGGCGACCGGCGCACGGGUGAGUAACGCGUAUCCAACCUGCCCUUCACCACGGGAUAACCCGGCGAAAGUCGGACUAAUACCGUAUGUUGUCCAUUGACGGCAUCCGAUUUGGACGAAAGGCUUGGCGGUGAGGGAUGGGGAUGCGUCCGAUUAGCCAGACGGCGGGGUAACGGCCCACCGUGGCUACGAUCGGUAGGGGUUCUGAGAGGAAGGUCCCCCACACUGGAACUGAGACACGGUCCAGACUCCUACGGGAGGCAGCAGAGAGGAAUAUUGGUCAAUGGGCGUAAGCCUGAACCAGCCAAGUAGCGUGCAGGAUGACGGCCCUAUGGGUUGUAAACUGCUUUUAUGCGGGGAUAAAGUGGCCCACGUGUGGGCUUUUGCAGGUACCGCAUGAAUAAGGACCGGCUAAUUCCGUG
RNAcentral lists this ribosomal RNA (490 nucleotides) under uncultured bacterium. RNAcentral describes it as "partial 16S ribosomal RNA". It matches the Rfam family "Bacterial small subunit ribosomal RNA", at positions 28 to 507 of the family's 1533-position model. The record is from RNAcentral.